GAAAGAGAAAUGAAAAAAGAAAGAAAGAAAGAAAGUUGGUGCUAACUUCAGCUACAGCUUUCACAUCACUGGCCAGAACCGUGUUGUACGGCCACUCCUAACUGCAGGGAAGGGAAAUGCAGUUCUUCAGUGGACCCACUGCUGCGCUAAAAAAAUGAGAUAUUUGCUUUCUGUUGGAAAGAAAUGGAGCUGGAUCUUGGGAAGACAAUUACAGCAGGCAUGUACAAAUAAUGCACUCAGAAGUACGCUCUUUUGCCCAUGAAGAAUAUGGACUUUCUGCACUGGCAUGCAGGUACGUAAACGGCUGCAUCUUCUUACAGCCUAACAAGCUGCACUUCCACCCGAACCAGAAGAGGAAAGUCUGAAAGUGUCUCCUAAUUAACAGCCGCGGUUGUAUAACUGAGUCCCGCGAGAUGCGUCCUUGGAGUUUGUGGAGAGUUAUCCCGUCCCCUUGACAAAGGCUAUGUGCUUCUAAAACUGAGAGAUCCAGUUGCCUAGUGUUUUAUUUGAUUUUUUUUUGGGGGGGGGUGGUUUUUUUUUUCUGGUACCGGGAAUCGAACUCAUGACCUUGCGCUUGCCAGGCAGAUGCUGUGCCACUGAGCUAAAUCCGCAGCCCCUGCCUAGUGUUGUAAAUGAGUGGUAUCAAAAUAAAAGUACAUUAAGGGGGAAAAAAGGUAAUUUUAAUUUUUACUGACAGGAUACAAAAAAUAAUAACCUUAUUUUAUUAUUUAUUUUUCGUACUACUAGGAACUGAACCCAAGAC
This 763-nucleotide long non-coding RNA is filed under the name Chinchilla lanigera (long-tailed chinchilla). Its description in RNAcentral is "lncRNA (ENSCLAG00000024923.1)". Lineage: Eukaryota; Metazoa; Chordata; Mammalia; Rodentia; Chinchillidae. The record is from RNAcentral.